Long non-coding RNA from Carcharodon carcharias (great white shark), 229 nucleotides. RefSeq lists it as uncharacterized. The record is from RefSeq and is a predicted model, not a curated record. The transcript is spliced from 3 exons. NCBI's taxonomy places the organism in Eukaryota, Metazoa, Chordata, Chondrichthyes, Lamniformes, Lamnidae.
UGCAAUCAGCCAGGAGGAACUUAUCUGUAAAAUUGUUCAGCUGUGCCAUUUACUGCCCAGUGAGAUCCUACUUUUACCACCUUGCCAAUCAGUGUACCAGUUUUCACAGGAAGCAGUGGACAAGUUGAUGUAUUGUGAAAUUCUUAUCAUGGAGGAGAAUGAGAACAAACAGCCAGCGUGUGACACAUGGCAGAAGAGGUUCGCCAAGGAGCUGACUUGGAAAGUGAUG